GGGCGCGUAGCUCAGCUGGCCAGAGCACUACCUUGACACGGUAGGGGUCGGAGGUUCAAGUCCUCUCGCGCCCACCA
Molecule: transfer RNA, 77 nt
Filed under: Allomeiothermus silvanus
Lineage: Bacteria; Thermotogati; Deinococcota; Deinococci; Thermales; Thermaceae
Also listed under: 1 other name
Description: Meiothermus silvanus tRNA-Val
Rfam family: tRNA
About the family: Transfer RNA (tRNA) molecules are approximately 80 nucleotides in length. Their secondary structure includes four short double-helical elements and three loops (D, anti-codon, and T loops).
Source: RNAcentral